Molecule: ribosomal RNA, 1984 nt
Filed under: Escherichia coli
Lineage: Bacteria; Pseudomonadati; Pseudomonadota; Gammaproteobacteria; Enterobacterales; Enterobacteriaceae
Also listed under: 1 other name
Description: partial 23S ribosomal RNA
Rfam family: Bacterial large subunit ribosomal RNA
Source: RNAcentral
CCGGAGAAUGUUAUCACGGGAGACACACGGCGGGUGCUAACGUCCGUCGUGAAGAGGGAAACAACCCAGACCGCCAGCUAAGGUCCCAAAGUCAUGGUUAAGUGGGAAACGAUGUGGGAAGGCCCAGACAGCCAGGAUGUUGGCUUAGAAGCAGCCAUCAUUUAAAGAAAGCGUAAUAGCUCACUGGUCGAGUCGGCCUGCGCGGAAGAUGUAACGGGGCUAAACCAUGCACCGAAGCUGCGGCAGCGACGCUUAUGCGUUGUUGGGUAGGGGAGCGUUCUGUAAGCCUGCGAAGGUGUGCUGUGAGGCAUGCUGGAGGUAUCAGAAGUGCGAAUGCUGACAUAAGUAACGAUAAAGCGGGUGAAAAGCCCGCUCGCCGGAAGACCAAGGGUUCCUGUCCAACGUUAAUCGGGGCAGGGUGAGUCGACCCCUAAGGCGAGGCCGAAAGGCGUAGUCGAUGGGAAACAGGUUAAUAUUCCUGUACUUGGUGUUACUGCGAAGGGGGGACGGAGAAGGCUAUGUUGGCCGGGCGACGGUUGUCCCGGUUUAAGCGUGUAGGCUGGUUUUCCAGGCAAAUCCGGAAAAUCAAGGCUGAGGCGUGAUGACGAGGCACUACGGUGCUGAAGCAACAAAUGCCCUGCUUCCAGGAAAAGCCUCUAAGCAUCAGGUAACAUCAAAUCGUACCCCAAACCGACACAGGUGGUCAGGUAGAGAAUACCAAGGCGCUUGAGAGAACUCGGGUGAAGGAACUAGGCAAAAUGGUGCCGUAACUUCGGGAGAAGGCACGCUGAUAUGUAGGUGAAGUCCCUUGCGGAUGGAGCUGAAAUCAGUCGAAGAUACCAGCUGGCUGCAACUGUUUAUUAAAAACACAGCACUGUGCAAACACGAAAGUGGACGUAUACGGUGUGACGCCUGCCCGGUGCCGGAAGGUUAAUUGAUGGGGUCAGCGCAAGCGAAGCUCUUGAUCGAAGCCCCGGUAAACGGCGGCCGUAACUAUAACGGUCCUAAGGUAGCGAAAUUCCUUGUCGGGUAAGUUCCGACCUGCACGAAUGGCGUAAUGAUGGCCAGGCUGUCUCCACCCGAGACUCAGUGAAAUUGAACUCGCUGUGAAGAUGCAGUGUACCCGCGGCAAGACGGAAAGACCCCGUGAACCUUUACUAUAGCUUGACACUGAACAUUGAGCCUUGAUGUGUAGGAUAGGUGGGAGGCUUUGAAGUGUGGACGCCAGUCUGCAUGGAGCCGGCCUUGAAAUACCACCCUUUAAUGUUUGAUGUUCUAACGUGGACCCGUGAUCCGGGUUGCGGACAGUGUCUGGUGGGUAGUUUGACUGGGGCGGUCUCCUCCUAAAGAGUAACGGAGGAGCACGAAGGUUGGCUAAUCCUGGUCGGACAUCAGGAGGUUAGUGCAAUGGCAUAAGCCAGCUUGACUGCGAGCGUGACGGCGCGAGCAGGUGCGAAAGCAGGUCAUAGUGAUCCGGUGGUUCUGAAUGGAAGGGCCAUCGCUCAACGGAUAAAAGGUACUCCGGGGAUAACAGGCUGAUACCGCCCAAGAGUUCAUAUCGACGGCGGUGUUUGGCACCUCGAUGUCGGCUCAUCACAUCCUGGGGCUGAAGUAGGUCCCAAGGGUAUGGCUGUUCGCCAUUUAAAGUGGUACGCGAGCUGGGUUUAGAACGUCGUGAGACAGUUCGGUCCCUAUCUGCCGUGGGCGCUGGAGAACUGAGGGGGGCUGCUCCUAGUACGAGAGGACCGGAGUGGACGCAUCACUGGUGUUCGGGUUGUCAUGCCAAUGGCACUGCCCGGUAGCUAAAUGCGGAAGAGAUAAGUGCUGAAAGCAUCUAAGCACGAAACUUGCCCCGAGAUGAGUUCUCCCUGACCCUUUAAGGGUCCUGAAGGAACGUUGAAGACGACGACGUUGAUAGGCCGGGUGUGUAAGCGCAGCGAUGCGUUGAGCUAACCGGUACUAAUGAACCGUGAGGCUUAACCUU